ACAUAUUGUGCGCAAAAUGAUAAAAGGUUUGGGUCAUCAAUAUCGCAAAUGGAAGGUUUGGGUACAUAAAUCACAUAGUUAUGAAGGUUUGGCAACUUGCAGGAUUUAUAUGGGCCCCGCAUCAACGGCAUCCCAUUCCACCUACUAUUAUGGAAAGAGAAGGUCCGGCGGCUCUGUCUUUCUCUCUCUAGACUCUCAACAGAGUCUACCUUGCGUCCACUGUCCACACCAUUUCCAAGUCAUCACUUACCAAAACGUCUUCGUCCCGUUCUCCCCAAAUAUACUCUGUACGCCCGUUUAAUCCCUUACUUCUUUGUUGUUGAUUUCAAAAACAUAAUUUGUACAUGAAUUAAGCGUAAAUCGUGGUCUGGGCCGUUCGUCAUUAAAAUUAGGGAUCAAAUGAAGCUGAACGGGUAAGGUUUAAUGGAAAACAAGAUGUCAGUUGCAGAGCUGAAAGAGCGGCACAGGGCCGCCACUGAGACCGUCAAUGCCCUCAGAGAUAAAUUGAAACAGAAGCGUUUGCUCCUUCUCGAUACCGAUGGUAAUUAUGUAAAAUUUUUUUUAUCGUAAUUAUAGCUGUUAUGAUUUGGUUUGAAUUGG
Molecule: long non-coding RNA, 600 nt
Filed under: Olea europaea (common olive)
Lineage: Eukaryota; Viridiplantae; Streptophyta; Magnoliopsida; Lamiales; Oleaceae
Description: long non-coding RNA (OEUR_LNC006084)
Source: RNAcentral